RNAcentral lists this ribosomal RNA (256 nucleotides) under uncultured bacterium. RNAcentral's name for it is "partial 16S ribosomal RNA". It matches the Rfam family "Bacterial small subunit ribosomal RNA", at positions 524 to 776 of the family's 1533-position model. The record is from RNAcentral.
UACGUAGGGGGCAAGCGUUGUCCGGAUUUAUUGGGCGUAAAGAGCUCGUAGGCGGCUCAGUAAGUCGGGUGUGAAAGCCCCGAGCUCAACUCGGGGAGGCCACCCGAUACUGCUGUGGCUAGAGUCCGGUAGGGGGAGCGUGGAAUUCCCGGUGUAGCGGUGAAAUGGCGCAGAUAUCGGGAGGAACACCAGCGGCGAAGGCGGCGCUCUGGGCCGGAACUGACGCUGAGGAGCGAAAGCGUGGGGAGCGAACAGG